RNAcentral lists this long non-coding RNA (964 nucleotides) under Cavia porcellus (domestic guinea pig). RNAcentral describes it as "lncRNA (ENSCPOG00000036138.1)". The record is from RNAcentral. Lineage: Eukaryota; Metazoa; Chordata; Mammalia; Rodentia; Caviidae.
CUCAGCUGAGUUUAAGGUUUAAUCUCUUUAAUACAAAAGUUUCUGCUUUGCUUUUUCUGGGUUCUGGGACUCUUGCUAAUGAUGCUAAACAAAUAAUCACCCUUUAUUCCCCUCUGGAGGCUUUCCUGGGAGCAUUGUGGCCGCACAGGCCUUGACUGUUGUGGUUUACGGGCCAAGCCUGCACCUGCACUAUUUGUGUGAGCUCAUCUGGACCCCAGAAGGACUUUUAGAGUCAAGUGCAGCACCAGUGAGCAGAUCUGGAGAGAAGCCACCAGUCCAGGGGCUACUAGAACACCCAGCAGAUACCAACCCUAUGCUGCCCAUUCUGGUGCAGCUCCUGCCCAGGCCCCUGUGGAAUAUCCCCGCCCCCGGCCCUCUUCCCAAGACCUAGCUCCUUCUUUAUGUUUCCUCCAAGUCUAUCUUUUUCUUCUCCCAGGGUCCAACCCCUGCACACUUCCCCUUCCAGACUUAGCUCCAACCCCUCCGUCUCCACCUCCUGUUCCACACCAUCUGGUGCCAUUUCUAAGUCCGUUUUCCUGUUUGUUUUAGAGCUUCACCCUCAGGACUCAUCAAGGGACUCAGACUAGCCCGAGGCAAGAGACUUCAGGCCACCACAUCAAAGGCAUGAAGGACUUCCAGUCUAUCCUCCAGCCCCUCAAGGAUAAGGAAGGACUGGUGGGGUGGAGGGAAGCAAACUCCUACACCAGCGACGGCUGCUGCAUCCAGGGAGAGCGCCAGUGGCUGCCACAGUCCAAGGGAACCGCACCACUCCAGGAACAGACCGGGCACAGAUCACCCUCCUUCAGCUCCAAGCUCAGAGUCCUCAGACCCCAGUUCGAAUCAUCCGCUGCGUCCUUAGGGCUUCCCUUGGGUUGAGUGUCACGCAUUCCCCUGCACUCGGGCACACGCAUAUGUAUGUCCAUGUCUCUCCCACACUUGAUUAUAAACUCCAUGUCAGUGGCUC